UCAAUCAUUAUUCAUUUGUGUUGUCCUCACUAAGGGGAGGCUGUGAAGCUGCGGAUCCUUAGUGUGACUGUUUGUUUCAUUGGUUGUUUGUUUGAUUUACUUUGUUACACUUUAGAUGUGAGUCGUCUGUAAUCCUUGUCCGCCCCUUCUGUUUAGGUGCUGAGAGCCGAAAGUGGGAGCAGU
Molecule: long non-coding RNA, 183 nt
Organism: Alosa sapidissima (American shad)
Lineage: Eukaryota; Metazoa; Chordata; Actinopteri; Clupeiformes; Clupeidae
Exons: 3
Source: RefSeq, a predicted model, not a curated record